GGUUGACGGAGGAUGGAUAUUAACAAGCAGUACUGGUCUCAGUAUCUGGUAAGGCACUGUCCCAGUGUAUAGAUGGGCCCUACGGUCUGGUAUCUGUUAAGGCUCUGUUCCAAUAUGUGGAUUGGGACCCACAGUCCAGUAUCUGUUAAGGCACUGUUACACUGUGUGGAUGGGCCCCACAGUCCGGUAUCUGUUAAGGCUCUGUUCCAGUGUGUGGAUGGGCCCCACGGUCUGGUAUCUGUUAAGGCUCUGUUCCAGUAUGUGGAUGGGGCCCCACGGUCUGGUAUCUGUUAAGGCUCUGCUCCAGUGUGUGGACGGGCCCCACGGUCUGGUAUCUGUUAAGGCUCUGUUCCAGUGUGUGGAUGGUAGUGUGGCCAGCAACCCCACAGGAUGAUGUGUUAUUGGUGUCAGCAGUGCCCGGGGAUGGGAGGGUUUCAAUUGGCUGGAACGAUGGGAUCUCAUUACGCACGCAAGUCCACCUGUUGAGCUGUGAAUGAGCUGCGUCUUCCUCAGACUCAUGUCUGUGCGACCUGCGCCCUGUGACCUGUGAUCUGACCUGUGGUGGGAUAAGAAGCAGUGGCUGACGUCACACACUCUGGACGAGAGCACAUGCUUGUCAGCGCUCUCCUGAUUCGACAGCAGAGCCUGUAGCAUUGAGCACUAAUGAAUGUGAUUGGGCUACAGUCCAAACUUUGGAGAAAAAGCUUCUUAAAAAACAAAAAACAAAACAAAAAACACUGUUUUUUUUCUACUCUUUAUAUUGUGUCAUUUUAUACAUUUUUUACCUUUUAUAUACAUGCAUUUGGACAAAGUGUAUUUUGGAGUUAAUGUCUUUUUUAUCCUCACACUCAUUUAAGUUGUUUAUAAUAUUGUUAUUUAAUAAUGCUUCUGUUCAAAUAGGUCUAUUUAUGAAGUUAAUGUAAUUAGGGUAUCACACAGGUGCAUUUCAUUGUGUCAAAAGUAUUUUGCUCCACUAAAUUUUCUGUCUAAA
This is a long non-coding RNA of Anguilla rostrata (American eel), 991 nucleotides long. RefSeq lists it as uncharacterized. Lineage: Eukaryota; Metazoa; Chordata; Actinopteri; Anguilliformes; Anguillidae. The record is from RefSeq and is a predicted model, not a curated record. The transcript is spliced from 2 exons.